RNAcentral lists this non-coding RNA (28 nucleotides) under Homo sapiens (human). The record is from RNAcentral. Lineage: Eukaryota; Metazoa; Chordata; Mammalia; Primates; Hominidae.
UGAUAACCCCUGGGUCCAUCUGGCCAUC